CUGGCUCAGGAUGAACGCUAGCGACAGGCCUAACACAUGCAAGUCGAGGGGCAUCGGGGCGAGGAGCAAUCCUUGCCGCCGGCGACCGGCGCACGGGUGAGUAACGCGUAUGCGACCUGCCCGUUGCAGGGGGAUAAUCGGGAGAAAUCCCGUCUAAUACCGCGUAAUGCCGCGGGGCUGCAUGGCCCUGCGGCCAAAGGGAGCGAUUCCGGCAACGGAUGGGCAUGCGUGACAUUAGCUAGUUGGCGGGGCAACGGCCCACCAAGGCGACGAUGUCUAGGGGUUCUGAGAGGAAGGUCCCCCACACUGGUACUGAGACACGGACCAGACUCCUACGGGAGGCAGCAGUGAGGAAUAUUGGUCAAUGGGCGCGAGCCUGAACCAGCCAAGUCGCGUGAGGGAUGACGGCCCUACGGGUUGUAAACCUCUUUUGUCGGGGAGCAAAUUCCGCCACGUGUGGCGGAGUCGAGAGUACCCGAAGAAAAAGCAUCGGCUAACUCCGUGCCAGCAGCCGCGGUAAUACGGAGGAUGCGAGCGUUAUCCGGAUUUAUUGGGUUUAAAGGGUGCGUAGGCGGACUGUCAAGUCAGCGGUAAAAUACGGGGGCUCAACCUCCGCCCGCCGUUGAAACUGACGGUCUUGAGUGGGCGAGAAGUAUGCGGAAUGCGUGGUGUAGCGGUGAAAUGCAUAGAUAUCACGCAGAACUCCGAUUGCGAAGGCAGCAUACCGGCGCCCGACUGACGCUGAAGCACGAAAGCGUGGGUAUCGAACAGGAUUAGAUACCCUGGUAGUCCACGCAGUAAACGAUGAAUACUAGCUGUCCGGGGCGAAUGAGCCCUGGGUGGCACAGCGAAAGCGUUAAGUAUUCCACCUGGGGAGUACGCCGGCAACGGUGAAACUCAAAGGAAUUGACGGGGGCCCGCACAAGCGGAGGAACAUGUGGUUUAAUUCGAUGAUACGCGAGGAACCUUACCCGGGCUCAAACGACACAGGAACGUACCUGAAAGGGUUCGGCUCUACGGAGCCUGUGUCGAGGUGCUGCAUGGUUGUCGUCAGCUCGUGCCGUGAGGUGUCGGCUUAAGUGCCAUAACGAGCGCAACCCCCAUCGACAGUUGCUAACAGGUCAGGCUGAGGACUCUGUCGAGACUGCCGGCGCAAGCUGCGAGGAAGGCGGGGAUGACGUCAAAUCAGCACGGCCCUUACGUCCGGGGCGACACACGUGUUACAAUGGCAGGUACAGCGGGAAGCCACCUGGCGACAGGGAGCGGAACCCGAAAGCCUGUCUCAGUUCGGAUUGGAGUCUGCAACCCGACUCCAUGAAGCUGGAUUCGCUAGUAAUCGCGCAUCAGCCACGGCGCGGUGAAUACGUUCCCGGGCCUUGUACACACCGCCCGUCAAGCCAUGGAAGCCGGGGGUGCCUGAAGUGCGCUGCCGCGAGGAGCGCCCUAGGGUAAAACCGGUGACUGGGGCUAAGUCGUAACAAGGUA
RNAcentral lists this ribosomal RNA (1485 nucleotides) under uncultured bacterium. Its description in RNAcentral is "16S ribosomal RNA". It matches the Rfam family "Bacterial small subunit ribosomal RNA". The record is from RNAcentral.